RNAcentral lists this long non-coding RNA (274 nucleotides) under Setaria italica (foxtail millet). RNAcentral describes it as "long non-coding RNA (SITA_LNC004732)". The record is from RNAcentral. Lineage: Eukaryota; Viridiplantae; Streptophyta; Magnoliopsida; Poales; Poaceae.
CGAAGGCCGGGGUCACGGCGGCCUUGAUGAGGGGGUUGAUUUUGCCCAUGCCAGCCAGGCCGUGGUAGUAGAAGUCAUUAGCGCUGACGCUAGACUUGCACGGGUAGCCGGCCGGCGUGUCGCUGCAGGACAGGUCAGCGACGCAGAAGUCCUGCGUCAGCGCGAGGGAGGCGAAGGGCAGGAGGAGGAAGGAGAGGAGCACGGGGAGCAGCACCAUCUUGGCCAUGGCAACGGCUUACUACACAGCUAGCUCGAGAUAGUUUGAUGUGUGGAU